GACGAACGCUGGCGGCGUGCUUAACACAUGCAAGUCGAACGGAAAGGCCCUGCUUUUGUGGGGUGCUCGAGUGGCGAACGGGUGAGUAACACGUGAGUAACCUGCCCUUGACUUUGGGAUAACUUCAGGAAACUGGGGCUAAUACCGGAUAGGAGCUCCUGCUGCAUGGUGGGGGUUGGAAAGUUUCGGCGGUUGGGGAUGGACUCGCGGCUUAUCAGCUUGUUGGUGGGGUAGUGGCUUACCAAGGCUUUGACGGGUAGCCGGCCUGAGAGGGUGACCGGCCACAUUGGGACUGAGAUACGGCCCAGACUCCUACGGGAGGCAGCAGGGGGGAAUAUUGCACAAUGGGCGGAAGCCGGAUGCAGCAACGCCGCGUGCGGGAUGACGGCCUUCGGGUUGUAAACCGCUUUCGCCUGUGACGAAGCGUGAGUGACGGUAAUGGGUAAAGAAGCACCGGCUAACUACGU
This 467-nucleotide ribosomal RNA is filed under the name uncultured bacterium. RNAcentral describes it as "partial 16S ribosomal RNA". It matches the Rfam family "Bacterial small subunit ribosomal RNA", at positions 28 to 506 of the family's 1533-position model. The record is from RNAcentral.